GAGGCUUCUCGAAGUUAAGAAAUCUGUCAAGGUUCCUGAGCUGGGAAGGGACAGAGCCGUAUUCAGAAUGAGAUGUCUGGCUCCAGAGCUCAUGUGUGACAUCACGACUCUAAGACAGAUGUUCUCUUCACUUGCCACUGCUUCUCCUGUCUAAGAUAUAUAUCUAUAUGUAUAUAGAUUAUCUAUAAAAAGUAUUCAGUUGACUUUCAAUCAGCCAGAAGAAGAAAUAGAGGAAGCUGGUAUGCUUUGGGUCCAUGAUGGAAUUGAAAGACUUCUGAGGCCAUUGCCCUGAAGAUUCCUGGUGCAGUGACAGAGGGCCUGCAGGAUCGAAGAGCUGUGGAAUGAAGAUGGGAAUAUAGUUCCUUUUAAAAUAUGUUGAUGGCUUUCAGCACCGAGAAUAAAACAAAAUGUGACAGCAG
Molecule: long non-coding RNA, 419 nt
Organism: Lutra lutra (Eurasian river otter)
Lineage: Eukaryota; Metazoa; Chordata; Mammalia; Carnivora; Mustelidae
Exons: 3
Source: RefSeq, a predicted model, not a curated record